This 493-nucleotide ribosomal RNA is filed under the name uncultured bacterium. Its description in RNAcentral is "partial 16S ribosomal RNA". It matches the Rfam family "Bacterial small subunit ribosomal RNA", at positions 28 to 507 of the family's 1533-position model. The record is from RNAcentral.
GACGAACGCUGGCGGCGUGCUUAACACAUGCAAGUCGAACGGUGAAGGGACCGGUUUUUGCUGGUUCUGGAUGAGUGGCGAACGGGUGAGUAACACGUGAGUAACCUGCCCCCUUCUUCUGGAUAACCGCAUGAAAGUGUGGCUAAUACGGGAUAUUCUGCGCCUGCUGCAUGGUGGGUGUGGGAAAGAUAUUGUUUCGGUGGGGGAUGGGCUCGCGGCCUAUCAGCUUGUUGGUGGGGUGAUGGCCUACCAAGGCGGGGACGGGUAGCCGGCCUGAGAGGGUGGACGGUCACACUGGGACUGAGACACGGCCCAGACUCCUACGGGAGGCAGCAGUGGGGAAUAUUGCACAAUGGGCGCAAGCCUGAUGCAGCGACGCCGCGUGAGGGAUGGAGGCCUGCGGGUUGUAAACCUCUUUCGCCAGUGAAGCAGGCCUGUCCCUUUUGUGGGUGGGUUGACGGUAGCUGGAUAAGAAGCGCCGGCUAACUACGUG